Molecule: ribosomal RNA, 256 nt
Filed under: uncultured archaeon
Lineage: Archaea
Description: partial 16S ribosomal RNA
Rfam family: Bacterial small subunit ribosomal RNA
Source: RNAcentral
UAAUACGUAGGUGGCAAGCGUUGUCCGGAAUUAUUGGGCGUAAAGCGCGCGCAGGCGGUCCUUUAAGUCUGAUGUGAAAGCCCACGGCUCAACCGUGGAGGGUCAUUGGAAACUGGGGGACUUGAGUGCAGAAGAGGAAAGCGGAAUUCCACGUGUAGCGGUGAAAUGCGUAGAGAUGUGGAGGAACACCAGUGGCGAAGGCGGCUUUCUGGUCUGUAACUGACGCUGAGGCGCGAAAGCGUGGGGAGCAAACAGG